This 240-nucleotide ribosomal RNA is filed under the name uncultured bacterium. Its description in RNAcentral is "partial 16S ribosomal RNA". It matches the Rfam family "Bacterial small subunit ribosomal RNA", at positions 16 to 235 of the family's 1533-position model. The record is from RNAcentral.
GUCCUGGCUCAGGAUGAACGCUGGCGGCGUGCUUAACACAUGCAAGUCGAGCGAAGCACUUUACUUGGAUUUCUUCGGAAUGACGAGUAUUGUGACUGAGCGGCGGACGGGUGAGUAACGCGUGGGUAACCUGCCUCAUACAGGGGGAUAACAGUUAGAAAUGACUGCUAAUACCGCAUAAGACCACAGCACCGCAUGGUGCAGGGGUAAAAACUCCGGUGGUAUGAGAUGGACCCCGCG